AUGCGUUGUUGGGUAGGGGAGCGUUCUGUAAGCCUGCGAAGGUGGCCUGUGAGGGUUGCUGGAGGUAUCAGAAGUGCGAAUGCUGACAUAAGUAACGAUAAAGCGGGUGAAAAGCCCGCUCGCCGGAAGACCAAGGGUUCCUGUCCAACGUUAAUCGGGGCAGGGUGAGUCGACCCCUAAGGCGAGGCCGAAAGGCGUAGUCGAUGGGAAACGGGUUAAUAUUCCCGUACUUGGUGUUACUGCGAAGGGGGGACGGAGAAGGCUAUGUUGGCCGGGCGACGGUUGUCCCGGUUUAAGCGUGUAGGUGUGUGUUCCAGGUAAAUCCGGUUCACUUUAACACUGAGGCGUGAUGACGAGGCACUACGGUGCUGAAGCAACAAAUGCCCUGCUUCCAGGAAAAGCCUCUAAGCAUCAGGUAACAUCAAAUCGUACCCCAAACCGACACAGGUGGUCAGGUAGAGAAUACCAAGGCGCUUGAGAGAACUCGGGUGAAGGAACUAGGCAAAAUGGUGCCGUAACUUCGGGAGAAGGCACGCUGACACGUAGGUGAAGUGAUUUACUCACGGAGCUGAAGUCAGUCGAAGAUACCAGCUGGCUGCAACUGUUUAUUAAAAACACAGCACUGUGCAAACACGAAAGUGGACGUAUACGGUGUGACGCCUGCCCGGUGCCGGAAGGUUAAUUGAUGGGGUCAGCGCAAGCGAAGCUCCUGAUCGAAGCCCCGGUAAACGGCGGCCGUAACUAUAACGGUCCUAAGGUAGCGAAAUUCCUUGUCGGGUAAGUUCCGACCUGCACGAAUGGCGUAAUGAUGGCCAGGCUGUCUCCACCCGAGACUCAGUGAAAUUGAACUCGCUGUGAAGAUGCAGUGUACCCGCGGCAAGACGGAAAGACCCCGUGAACCUUUACUAUAGCUUGACACUGAACAUUGAGCCUUGAUGUGUAGGAUAGGUGGGAGGCUUUGAAGUGUGGACGCCAGUCUGCAUGGAGCCGACCUUGAAAUACCACCCUUUAAUGUUUGAUGUUCUAACGUGGACCCGUUACCCGGGUUGCGGACAGUGUCUGGUGGGUAGUUUGACUGGGGCGGUCUCCUCCUAAAGAGUAACGGAGGAGCACGAAGGUUGGCUAAUCCUGGUCGGACAUCAGGAGGUUAGUGCAAUGGCAUAAGCCAGCUUGACUGCGAGCGUGACGGCGCGAGCAGGUGCGAAAGCAGGUCAUAGUGAUCCGGUGGUUCUGAAUGGAAGGGCCAUCGCUCAACGGAUAAAAGGUACUCCGGGGAUAACAGGCUGAUACCGCCCAAGAGUUCAUAUCGACGGCGGUGUUUGGCACCUCGAUGUCGGCUCAUCACAUCCUGGGGCUGAAGUAGGUCCCAAGGGUAUGGCUGUUCGCCAUUUAAAGUGGUACGCGAGCUGGGUUUAGAACGUCGUGAGACAGUUCGGUCCCUAUCUGCCGUGGGCGCUGGAGAACUGAGGGGGGCUGCUCCUAGUACGAGAGGACCGGAGUGGACGCAUCACUGGUGUUCGGGUUGUCAUGCCAAUGGCACUGCCCGGUAGCUAAAUGCGGAAGAGAUAAGUGCUGAAAGCAUCUAAGCACGAAACUUGCCCCGAGAUGAGUUCUCCCUGAGACUUAGAGUCUCCUGAAGGAACGUUGAAGACGACGACGUUGAUAGGCCGGGUGUGUAAGCGCAGCGAUGCGUUGAGCUAACCGGUACUAAUGAACCGUGAGGCUUAACCUUACAACGCCGAAG
RNAcentral lists this ribosomal RNA (1744 nucleotides) under Salmonella enterica subsp. enterica. Its description in RNAcentral is "partial 23S ribosomal RNA". It matches the Rfam family "Bacterial large subunit ribosomal RNA", at positions 1216 to 2925 of the family's 2925-position model. Lineage: Bacteria; Pseudomonadati; Pseudomonadota; Gammaproteobacteria; Enterobacterales; Enterobacteriaceae. The record is from RNAcentral.